ACAACAGACACAGGGAAAUACGACACUCAAUGUUUGAUAUGAAAAAAAAACCUUCUGCUAAUUCAACUGCUUAACAGCUUGCAUUAAAACUGACCAUUGAAUAUCGUCAAGACUUUAGAUAACUGAAUACGGUGCUGAGAGAAACAAUCGAAAACUGAACAAAGUACAGAUGGUGCAAAUAUCUGCAUCUGGAUGUCCUCUGAAUCGUAUAAUUAUGGAUUUUUUAAACAGUUGAGUUAAAUAAGGGAACUUUAUUUUGACUGUCAAAAAGUUCCGGCCAAUUUUUAUUUUUAUUUAUAUAUUUUAGUCGAAUUGCUUGGAUCUUAGUCGUUGGUACUGUAUAGUUGUUAUUUUUGUUUUGAAUUAUUGGAAUAGCAUGGCAAGAAAAAGCGACACUCACAAAGUGGAUCAGGAUGAACCCAAGAAAUUGUCCUAACUUUGGAGUGAGGGUAGAAGGCUCACAAACAGGAAUAGUAGAUUGGGACCACUUGCGUAGGCUCGGGAAGAAGAAGAAGGAUCGCCAUGCGAUUGAAAAAGUGAUUGCGGUCUUAGAAUCUGGGCUCGGUAAGCUCAAUCUGAAGAAGACAUCUGACACAACAACAUGCCGAGUUGUAACAAAAAGUUGCGCGAGAUGAGAAUGCCAAGCAUCAAUUAAGCUGAACAUGCGACAACGAAAAACGAGGAAGCCAUUCACUUCUCGGGGCGCUGUGACCGCAGCGAACUAGAUAGAAGGGAAGGUAUAGGCUAUUUCGUGGGAUUCAAAACGACAUCCCGAACCCUAACCUUAACCCGGUGGCUUCAGACGAAGGUGACGUCAUUUAAUUCGGGAUGUCAGUGUCACGUGAUAUAGCCAAAAGGAAGGUGGGUGUUUCUAGCAGUCGAAGGGCCUUUUAACGUUGGUAGCUUAUUAUGAAAAACGAAGCAAAAUCCCCAAAGUUCUCAUCACGUUGCAUGCAAAGGAAUGAAGUAAAAGGAUUGCAGCUCUCAUCACGUGGCAUGCCAGUAAUGCAAGAA
Actinia tenebrosa (Australian red waratah sea anemone) is the source of this 1014-nucleotide long non-coding RNA. Lineage: Eukaryota; Metazoa; Cnidaria; Anthozoa; Actiniaria; Actiniidae. The record is from RefSeq and is a predicted model, not a curated record.